CCUACGGGAGGCAGCAGUGGGGAAUAUUGGGCAAUGGGCGCAAGCCUGACCCAGCAACGCCGCGUGAGGGAAGAAGGCCCUCGGGUUGUAAACUUCUUUUAUCAGGGACGAAACAAAUGACGCUAGUUGAUGAAUAAUCCACGUCUAACUACGUGCCAGCAGCCGCGGUAAUACGUAGGUGGCAAGCGUUAUCCGGCUUUACUGGGUGUAAAGGGAGUGUAGGCGGGACUGCAAGUCAGAUGUGAAAACCAUGGGAGCAACCCCUGGACUGCAUUUGAAACUGUAGUGCUGGAGUGUUGGAGAGGCAGGCGGAAUUCCGGGUGUAGCGGUGAAAUGCGUAGAUAUAAGGAAGAACACCAGUGGCGAAGGCGGCCUGCUGGACAAUAACUGACGUUGAGGCGCGAAAGCGUGGGGAGCAAACAGGAUUAGAUACCCUUGUAGUC
This 443-nucleotide ribosomal RNA is filed under the name uncultured bacterium. RNAcentral's name for it is "partial 16S ribosomal RNA". It matches the Rfam family "Bacterial small subunit ribosomal RNA", at positions 338 to 795 of the family's 1533-position model. The record is from RNAcentral.